ACAAAUUAGGGGCAGAUACAAAAUUUUAGGGAAGGGAGAAUGUCUCUGCAUUUUAAUAUUCAAAGGGCAGAAUAAAUGUUCCCCGUGACAUUCAUUCUGCCAUUUGAAUAUUUCUUUUGGCUUUUGAAUAUCGAAUGUAAAAAAUUUAGAUAAUCAAAUACAAUUUUUUAUGUUAAAGGGUCAAUAAAGUAAAAAUUAAACUUUCAUGAUUCAGAUAGAGCAUGCAAUUUAAAACAACAUUGCAGUUUACUUAUAUUAUCAAAUUUGCUUUGUUCUUUUGAUAUUCUUUGUUAAGAGUAAAGCAACAUAGGCUGAUAGGAGCUCAGAAGUGUGCACGUAUCUUUAGCAGUCUAUGGCAGCAAUGUUUGUAACUGUAUAACAUUGCUAUAAACAAUGUUGCAAACUAGAGACACGUGCACACUCCUGAUCUCACCUAAGAUUACUAUUUAACAAAGAUUACCAAGAGAACUAAACAAAAUUGAUAACAGAAGUAAAUUGGAAAGUUGUUUAAAAAUGUCAUACUCUAGACAAUCUAUUGCAGUUUGUUUGACUUUACUGUCCCUUUAAUUCCCAUAGACAUCCAUUGAAAUCUAUGGAGAUCAACACUUGAAAUGUAAAAUUUGAUCAUUAAAUGUUACUUUUUGAUAAAGCAUUUUUGUAAUACUCAUUGAUAACAUUUUAAGAGCAUUGACUUCUGGGAUUUUACAGGCAUUAAUGCACAUUAUGAGGCACACAUGCAAAGUUUCCAUGGACCCUGAAUAUUCUAAAAUAUUUUAUUUCCUGUUUUUUUUUUAUAUUUGAAACACUAUGCUUGAAUUUUGUUAGGUUGGCCUCUAUACAGGAACAUAAUAGCGCAGGGAAUAUGUUACUGCAUGCCUCUGUGUUUAACUAUGUCUUAGCACCUUAGCAAUAUAUUGUUACGCCAUUGGGCUGGGCUUGGCCAGUGAGCCAAUCAGGAGCAGCAUAUGGACAUUGACACCAGUCAACAGGCAUUUUUGCAGAUCCCAUAUGGGAUAUUUUGUGAUUGGCUGGAACGCCCGGUGAAGGCGUUGCUGGUUCAGGCAAUUGCACACCCCGGUGGAUGCGUUUCUGCACAUUAUCAUCAUCUAAAUAAAUAAAAUCACUGCCUCACAUUGAAAAUAAAUUAUACAAAAUAAACACUACUAAAUAUGGAGCUUAAACACUUGAUAAUUCUUACAACUAAUAAAAUAUGUAUUUGAUGUAAAUGAGAUUAAACGUGUUAUAUAUAUUUAGGUAUAUGCAAUCACCGACUCAUGCACAGAGUAUUUCCUAUAUUGUCACCAAAUUAUAGUUUGUUUUUUUAAAGGGACAUAACCUUUAUAAGUUUAGCUGUUACACUGAUAUUUGGCAAACCGGGUUAAACACUAAUCCCUACUAUGAAGUUGUAGAGACUGAAAACAUUCCUGCACCAUCUUCUCAGUCACCGAGCUCUCUGCACGCUUCACUUACUUCCAAUUUACUUUAUUAGCACACCAUCCCUAAAUAUAUAACACGUUUAAUCUUGUUCACAUCAAAUACGUAUUUUAUUACUUGUAUGAAUUAUCAUUGUGUGUUUAGGCUCCAUAUUUACUGGAAUUUAUUUUGUAUAAGUUAUAUUCAGGUGUGAGGCAGUGAUUUUAUUUAUGCAGAAUUACAGAUGAUUUGUGCGUGCAGAAACACCUCCACCGGGUACGGGUAUGUAAUUGCCUGAACCAGCAACGCCUCCACCAAGCAUUUAAGCCAAUCACAUAAUAUCCCAUGUGGGAUCUACGAAAAUGCGGUAACCAGCCAUGUCCAGCUAAGGAGCAAAAGUGCUUUGGUGCUCGUGCAGAUUUUAAAGAGACACAACUACAAAAGAAUAGCAACUACUCACUAUGUUUUUGCAUUUAAAUUUUUCCUGCAGCUCUUUUCAAUUCAGUUUUCCUGUUUUAAUAGCUUAAAGGUGGCAGAUACUGAAACUCCGCCUUUUCAUGCUGGGCGCCGCCAUUUUGGAGCUCAGGUAUUCUCACCGCCUGUGACAGAAGCUGUGCACACUCACAGAUCAGUAAUAUUGGCUAAUUUUAUACAGCUGUAUCAUUUACUUGGAGUAAGUGUGCAUGAUGCAUUAUGUGAGUUUUACAUUUUUGCCUUUUUUUUUACAUAGUUUUAAAGUUACAUAAAAUAUAAUUAAAUAAGCACUCAACAAUAAUAUAUAGCAAUGCAGCAAAUGUAAAAAUGUACAGCUUUCGGUUUGUACCAAGCACCCUAACCUGAAGCAAAUUAUACAGUUGUCAAGAAGUUGACAACCUAUUUGAUAUGUAAAUGCUACUGCUUCUGUCACAGACUGGGAUACCUGAGCUCCAAGAUGGCAGCACGCUGUACAAAGAGGCGGAGCUUCAGCAUCUGGCACCUUUAAAGGGAACUUAAACACAUUGAGAUUGUAAUAUAAAGUUAUAGAUUGCAUAUAUAAAAAAAAAAAAAUCCAUUAUUUAUUUUGUUCCCUUUUACUGUAAUUCCAUUCUACAAUUGUAAUCUUUUCAGUUCCUGUUAGAAAUGGAAGUGCAGAACACUGUUAUAUUCCACACAGCUUGGCUGCACACUAUAGUGACCUAUGUAUAACUGUACCUAAUUGGCCACAGCAGAGAAGGUAACCUACGUUACAACAUGGCAGCUCCCAUUGUGUUAUAGACACUUAAACGUUACUUAUUUUGUCAAUAUUCAAGCAACUAAUGAAACUUCAAAAAAUACAUCUACUUGUUAUUCUCAAACUAAUCUUUUCUUUAAGCGCAUCAUUCUUUCUAUCGGUUAUUUUGAGUUUAAUGUCCCUUUAAGCUAUUAAAACAGGAUAGCUGAUUUGAAGAGGUGCAGGAACAAGAUGAAAUACAAUAACAUAGUAGUUACUAUUAUUUUGUAGUUGUGCACAGCAGUUUAAUGUCCCUUUAAGUUCUAGGUGUUAAAACCAAUUGACGUUAUUCAGUAGUACAAUACUAAAAUUAUAUAGCAGGUUAAAGCAUUUUUUGCUAUUGCAUCAUUAUGUCCAUUUAACAAUUUCAUUGAUGGUCUGGGGACUUUAGCAGACAAUCUUCCAAAUUCAGAAAAAAAAGUAAGAUAUAAAAAUAUGAUAACCAACUUCUACUGCUUCAAAUCAAUCAUUUGUAAUUAUUUGUUUACAUUUUCAUAGUGUCAAUAUUCUUAAAUUGAUUUUAACAUUUAAAACCAUACAAGGUUCUUGAUUUUUAAAACAAUAUGAACUGGAGGUAUCAAAGCAACUUUAACAUCCCCUCUCCCUUUUGAGUGUAGCAAGCAAUCAAUAAGAUUUUGCACUGGUGUCUGGAGCUAUUAGCAUUGAAGACGGCCUCACAAACAGUGGAUCAAAAGGUCAAAAUAAUUGUGACAUAAAGCUCACAUCAUAAAAUUAAAGAUUCAUUUUACAAUGAUGACAAAGUAAAGCUUUACACCCAGAGAGUAUUCUCCACUAAAAUAUAGCUUGUGCAGCAUACUUUGAAUAGCAGGUGUCUCAUUUGAGUUUUAGAAUUCUGAGAUUUUUUUUUUUUAUUAUGUAAAAUUUAGGGUGUUCAAUCGUAUUUUCUAUUUUUUUAUUUUUUUUUAAAUCCCCAUUUUUUGCUGUUAGAGGACAUAACACCUACAUGAGUUAAAGCAUUCUUACAUAAAAGGAUAAAACACUCUUUAAAAUUGAACCGUAUUUAGUGAGAACUUUAUACUAUAGGCAUAUAUUAAUAAAUUGCCUAUCUGAAGAUUUAAAAAAGAGGAGGAAGUCUUCAAAGCCCCCACAUUUUUCUGGCACUUGCCCCUGCACACUCCUGUAAAGCUUAUAUGCAUUAGAUUGGUUGUGGGCACGCUCGUGUUCAAUCCAUACCUAUAAUGGCAGUAAUUUACAGGAGCAAGCGUUUUAUUUAACUGUUUCAAAGAGAGAGAAACAGAAGUUUACAGUAAGGUAAAUUAUGUAUGCUUUGACAUGUUGUCGCAUUAUAAUAGACAGGUGUAUGCUCUUUUAAAAAGUCCUGCAUGAUGUUAAAAAGUGUUUGUAACUGCUAGAAGCUAAAUUACCACUUCAGUCUAAGACCUCAACCUCACAACCUGCACAGCGUUUUUUUAGCCCAGCCAAUCGGUUUCUUCAUUAGUUAAGGUUCUGAUCUUGUAGAAGUUUUGAGCAAAACUGUCAGAGUACUGACUUAGAAUGUGAUUGGCAGCUUGGUUUCUGGUAACAAAAAAUUUCAUUUAAUAAGUGAAGAGACUUUAUUACUCCCUUAAUAAUUGUAUCUUUAUGUAUAAUCUUUAGAAUCUGUUUAUCAUCUGCGACUGUUAAAGGGACAUUCAACACCAAAAUUGUUUUUGUUUAAAAAGAUAGACAAUGCCUUUACUAUCCAUUCCCCUGCAUUGCACAACCGACAUUGUUAUAUUAAUAUACUUUAUAACACGUAAAGGGACACUGAAACUGAAAUGUUUUCUUUCAUGAUUCAGAUAGAGCAUGAAAUUUGAAUCAACUUUCUAAUUAACUCCUAUUAUCAAUUUUUCUUCGUUCUCUUGCUAUCUUUAUUUUAAAAGCAGGAAUAUAAAUCUUAGCCGUCAGCCCAUUUUAGGUUCAGCACCAUGGAUAGCGCUUGCUUAUUGGAGGAUUACAUUUACCCAACAAUAAGCAAGCAUAACCCAGGUUCUCAACCAAAAAUGGGUCGGCUCCUAUGCAUCACAUUCCUGCUUUUUAAAUAAAAAUAGCAAGAGAACAAAUUUUUUUUUGAUAAUGGGAGUAAAUUAGAAAGUUGCUUAAAAUUGCAUGCUCUACCUGAAUCAUGAAAGAAAAAAUGUGGGUUUAGUGUCCCUUUAAAUCCUUGCUUGUUUCUAAGCCACUAAAGACAGCCUCUUAUCACAUGCUUUUUUAUUUGCUUUACACAACAGGGGAGUGCUAGUUCAUGUGAGCCAAAUAGAUAACAUUGUGCUCACGCCCAUGGGUUGUGGCAGACACUGCAUUAAUUGGAUAAAAUGCAAGUCAAUAGAUCAUAAAUAAAGUCAUGUGAUCAGGGGGCUGUCAGAAGAUGCUUAGAUACAAGUUAAUCACAGAGGUAAAAAGUGUAUUAAUAUAACAGCUGUUGACUGUCCCUUUAAUAUAUAAAAGUUGUCACCACCAAUGAGCAAGGUAAAGGAGUAAUUCUCAAGCACACACAUUACAGAAAUUUCACAAUGGCCUAUAAAUGCUUGUUCAUAAUUUUUUCCCCCCCAGACAGAAUAACUUUACUGACUUUUCCCAAAUUAUAUUUAUCAGAAAAUGUCUAUCCUCUUAUGACCUGUCGAGUAGGUAACUCAUGCAGAAUCCACCCUGGCUAAUUUAGUAAAGACUAUACGUACAUGGUUUUCAGUGACAGGAGGUAAUAAAAAUCGCAGUGUUAUGUUUUCAAGCUUCACAGAUAAACAUCUUACUUGACUGUGCAAUUUGAAACGGACACUCCAAGAGCAAGUGUAGCAUGUAGUGCAAGGACUUUUUUUCCCCCUCUCUUUCCUGUAUAACAGCGUACUUGGUUUCUUAUGGCUAGGACCGAAUGUCUCUGAAUAUUUGGCAGUAGCUCUUGAUUUUCUUUACAUUGACACUUUUGAACUGCCUUACAAAGACCGUUAUCAAUCUACUUUUUUAUUAUUGUAUCUUAAAUUAUUAAAGAAUUUAAAAAAGUAAGAUUUUCUGAUUCUAUCAAAGUAAUCUUUGCUUGUAUGUAAAUUUAAAUGGUUUAAAAGCCAACAUUUAGAGUGUAAGUAACCAUGGCGGUUUUUGUUUUUUUCCCAAAGCACACAAGCAGUUAUGGCUCCUUGUAUGACAUGUAACCUUUUAUUUACUGUGUAAAAAAUGGUUACAUUAUUUCCUAUUUUUUCUUUUUUUUGUUAACGAGUUCUAUAGAAUGCUUGUUUAUGUCAAAAACAUACUUACCUUUGUGAACCUUUUUGUUAGUGUAAACUAUGAGCUGUAUUUUUAUUCCCCCCCCCCUAAAAAAAAAAGACAGCUUGUCUAAUGCUUUUGAAAAGUUCUCUUUGUAAAGUCUAAAGCUGACAGUCUGUUUUAGGUUUUGUUCCCUUCCUUUUCAUACUAAAGUGUCGAUGGUGAUUUUGUGAACUGGUCAGAAAUUCACAGGUCUUUAAAUGUUUUCGGGAAAAUGUUACUGAACACUGCUUUUUUUGUCUAGCAAAUAAGAGAUGUUAAUAUAUUCCUGUUGCUGGCAUGUGCACGGCUGUCAUAGAAGCCACUUUAUCAUUUUCCUGCUUUAAUUAGAAAAGUCUAUUUAUGAAUUCUGCUUGUAGUUUUCUUUUUCACAAAUAAAAUAGUAAAAUUUAA
Long non-coding RNA from Bombina bombina (fire-bellied toad), 6313 nucleotides. RefSeq lists it as uncharacterized. The transcript has 2 exons. Lineage: Eukaryota; Metazoa; Chordata; Amphibia; Anura; Bombinatoridae. The record is from RefSeq and is a predicted model, not a curated record.